GAUUUUUUUUUUUUAGAACAUAUGACAAGUUAUAUGAAUAAUAUAUGCGAAGUUAAACACAACCCAAGAAGGACCCUUGAGCCAAAUCAAAGUGAAAGCCCUCCAAAAUAAUAUUUUUAAGAUACGUUUUCGGGUGAUUUGAUUUCGGGAGGUCAUAACCUUAUCGUCCUUUGGGAAUUUGGGAAAACUCCCAGAAUGAAAGUUGUAGAUAAUUGAAAUAGCUUUCCAACCAUAGGUCGUGGGUCUUCAUGUGACAUCGGGAUAAGGAGAUAUGAACAUUUUAAGGCAGAAAGGUCAAGCUGGGCAAUGAAUUCGGCCCAACCCGAUUCCAAGUCGGGUCAGCCCAUUUUCUUUGCCAUUUAAUGAAAAAAUUCGGCCUUCUCUUUCAUUUUCAGACCUCAAAAAAACCCAGAAAUUUCAGAGGUAGAGAGAGAGAGGAGAGAUAGAGAAAGAAACCAAAUUUUGACCACAAUCUAAGCCCCGAAUCGCGAAGCUCCUGAAGAGAAAAGUGUUGUACGUCGCGUUGCCUUCAAUUUGAGCUAAAAAUCAGCCAAGAAAGAGAGGGUGGAAGUGGUUGCUGCAUAAUUAAGGUAACGACGUGACAUUGGAGGAGAGCAAGUGAACGAUAACAUAGCUAAACGACAAAGGUAGACAGGAAGGUGAGCUUGGUCCAGACCCUUAGUAGCUGUCAACUGAUCGAAAGCACUCCAUUGUCCGGAGGUGCUUAUGGUUCUUCUUUUGGUAUAUAUGCAUAUUUUGGGCAUGACGGAGUCUUGUUCCGUCUAUAUGUUUAGUAUGUCAGUAGAGGCUCGUAGAUACGCAGUGUGGGUCAGAUGGUCUCGCAAGAUGUUAUUAUUAUGUAUAUGUUAUUUUGAUGGCCGAGAGGCAAAUGUAUAUAAGUAUUUAUGUUUUUAUAUAAAAUAUGAUUUUCCUACAA
Long non-coding RNA from Lycium barbarum (goji berry), 937 nucleotides. RefSeq lists it as uncharacterized. The transcript has 3 exons. Lineage: Eukaryota; Viridiplantae; Streptophyta; Magnoliopsida; Solanales; Solanaceae. The record is from RefSeq and is a predicted model, not a curated record.